This 559-nucleotide ribosomal RNA is filed under the name uncultured bacterium. RNAcentral's name for it is "bacterial SSU rRNA". It matches the Rfam family "Bacterial small subunit ribosomal RNA", at positions 338 to 916 of the family's 1533-position model. The record is from RNAcentral.
CCUACGGGAGGCAGCAGUGGGGAAUCUUGCGCAAUGGGGGCAACCCUGACGCAGCCAUGCCGCGUGAAUGAUGAAGGCCUUAGGGUUGUAAAGUUCUUUUGCCCGUGACGAUGAUGACGGUAACGGGAGAAUAAGCUCCGGCUAACUUCGUGCCAGCAGCCGCGGUAAUACGAAGGGGGCUAGCGUUGUUCGGAAUUACUGGGCGUAAAGCGCGCGCAGGCGGUUCGAUAAGUUAGGGGUGAAAUCCCUGGGCUCAACCCAGGAAUGGCCUUUAAGACUGUCGAGCUAGAGGACGAGAGAGGUGAGUGGAAUUCCCAGUGUAGAGGUGAAAUUCGUAGAUAUUGGGAAGAACACCGGUGGCGAAGGCGGCUCACUGGCUCGUUUCUGACGCUGAGGCGCGAAAGCGUGGGGAGCAAACAGGAUUAGAUACCCUGGUAGUCCACGCCCUAAACGAUGAGUGCCAGGUGUCGGGAAGCUUAGCUUCUCGGCGCCGCAGCUAACGCCUUAAGCACUCCGCCUGGGGAGUACGGCCGCAGGUUAAAACUCAAUGAAUUGACGG